GGUAGCUCAGUUGGUAGAGUGCUUGCCUUGCAUGCAAAAGACCCUGGGUUCAAUCUCCAGAACCA
This 65-nucleotide transfer RNA is filed under the name Ictidomys tridecemlineatus (thirteen-lined ground squirrel). RNAcentral describes it as "Spermophilus tridecemlineatus (thirteen-lined ground squirrel) tRNA". It matches the Rfam family "tRNA". From Rfam's summary of the family: Transfer RNA (tRNA) molecules are approximately 80 nucleotides in length. Their secondary structure includes four short double-helical elements and three loops (D, anti-codon, and T loops). Lineage: Eukaryota; Metazoa; Chordata; Mammalia; Rodentia; Sciuridae. The record is from Rfam by way of RNAcentral.